CGACCCCAGGUUAGGCGGGACUACCCGUUGAAUUUGAGCAUAUCAAUAAGCGGAGGAAAAGAAACUUAUAAGGAUUCUCCUAGUAACGGCGAGCGAACAGGGAACAGCCUAGCCUUAGAGUCGAGAGGCUCCAUCGUCCGAAUUAUAGUCUGGAGAAGCAUCCUCAACGGCGGACUAGGCCCAAGUCCCCUGGAAGGGGGCGCGAAAUAGGGUGAGAGCCCUAUUGUGGCAGGACCCUGUCGCGCUACGAGGUGCUGUCUAUGAGUCAGGUUGUUUGAGAAUGCAGCCCAAAUCAGGUGGUGAAUUCCGUCCCAGGCUAAAUACAGGCGAGAGACCGAUAGAAAACAAGUAUCGCGAGGGAAAGAUGAAAAGGACUUUGAAAAGAGAGUCAAAGAGUGCUUGAAAUUAUCGGGAGGGAAGCGGAUUAGGGCCAGCGAUGCGCCCCGGUCGGAAGUGGAAUGGUGUUAAGCCGGCCUCCCGAUCAACUCGGGGCAUGGAUCAGUGUGGAUUGGGGGGAGGCUAAAGCCCGGGCUUUUGAUACGCUCGUGGAACGUCGUCUCCUUGAUUGUGGAAGGCAGCGUUCACCUCUAGCAUGCUUCGGCAUAUGCGCGCUCCGAACACUGGUCUGUGGGCUCCCUAUUUGACCCGUCUUGAAACAUGGACAAGGGAGUUUAACAUGUGUGCGAGUCAACAGGCGAGUAAACCCAUAAGGCGUAAGGAAUUUGAUUAGUGGGAUCCCCCUGAGCGGUGCACCACUGACCGACCUUGAUCUUUUGUGAAGGGUUUGAGUGUUAGCAUACCUGUAGGGACCCAAAAGAUGGUGAAUUACGCCUGAGCAGGGCAAAGCCAGAGGAAACUCUGGUGGAGGCCCACAGCGAUACUGACGUGCAAAUCGUCCGUCUAACUUAGGUAUAGGGGCAAAAGACUAAUUGAACUGUCUAGUAGCUGGUUCCCUCCUAAGUUUCCCUUAGGAUAGCUGGAGCUCACGUGCGAGUUGUAUCGGGUAAAGCCAAUGAUUUGAGGCAUCAGGGCUGCAAUGCCCUCGACCUAUUCUAAAACUUUAAAUAGGUAGGAUGGUGCGACUGCUUUAUUGAGCCGCGCCAUGGAAUCAAGAGUUCCAAGUGGGCCAUUUUUUGUAAGUAGAACAGGCGAUGUGGGAUGAAUCGGAAUUUNUGCCAAACUGCGCGCUAACCUAGAUCCCACAAAGGGUGUUGGUCGAUUAAGACAGCAGGACGGUGGUCAUGGAAGUCGAAAUCCGCUAAAGAGUGUGUAACAACUCACUUGCCAAAUCAACUAGCCCCGAAAAUGGAUGGCGCUUAAGCACGUGACCUACACCCGACUGUCGGGGCAAGUGCUAGGCCUCGAUGAGUAGGAGGGCGCAACUAUCGCUACAAAACCUUGGGCAGAGCGGCUAUCGAUGCAGAUCUUGGUGGUAGUAGCAAAUAUUCAAAUGAGAACUUUGAAGGACGAAUAAGGGAAAGGUCCUAUGUGAACGGCACUUGCACAUGGGUUAGUCAAUCCUAAGGGUCGGGGAAACCCCGAUAGAUAGAGCAUUUCACGUGUACUCUGAAAGGGAAUCAGGUUAAAAUUCCUGAACCGGGAUGUGGCGGUUGACAGCAACGUUAGGAAGUCCGGAUUUGUCAGCGGGGUCCUCGAGAAGAGUUAUUUUUCUGUUUAACAACUUGCCCACCCUGGAAACAACUUAGUCGAAGGUAGGGUCCAGUAGCUGGAAGAUGACCGCACGUCGCGUGGUGUCCGGUGCGCCCCCAACGGCCUUUGAAAAUCUGAAGGACCGAGUGUCGUCCAUGCCCGGUCGUACUCAUAACCGCAUCAGGUUUCCAAGGUGAACAACCUCUGGUCGAUGGAACAAUGUAGGCAAGGGAAGUCGGCAAAAUAGAUUUGUAACUUCGGGAAAAGGAUUGGCUCUGAAGGCUGGGCAUGCGGGUCCCAGUCCCGCACCUGUGGGUUGUCGGUGGACUGCUCGAGCUGCUCCCACAGUGAUAGCGGGUCACCGCAUGCCAGCUGGGCGAUGUACUGGGACCGGUUCAUUCGGGGGCCUUUCCCGGGCAUCGAACAACCAACUCAGAACUGGUACGGACAAGGGAAAUCCGACUGUUUAAUUAAAACAAAGCAUUGCAAUGGUCCCUAUAGAUAUUUACGUAAUGUGAUUUCUGCCCAGUGCUCUAAAUAUCAAAAUGAAGAAAUUCAACUAAGCACGGGUAAAUGGCGGAAGUAACUAUGACUCUCUUAAGGUAGCCAAAUGCCUCGUCAUCUAAUUAGUGGCGCGCAUGAAUGGAUUAAUGAGAUUCCCACUGUCUAUGUCUACUAUCCAGCGAAACCACAGCCAAGGGAACGGGUUUGGCAGAAUCAGUGGGGAAAGAAGACCCUAUUGAGCUUGACUCUAGUCCGACUUUGUGAAAUGACUUGAGAGGUGUAGUAUAAGUGGGAGCCGAAAGGUAAAAGUGAAAUACCACUACUUUUAACGUUAUUUUACUUAUUUCGUGAAUCGGAAGCGGGGCACUGCCCCUUUUUUUGGACCCAAGGCUUGCUUGAAGGCCGAUCCGGGCUGAAGACAUUGUCAGUUGGGGAGUUUGGCUAGGGCAGCACAUAUAUUAAAAGACAACGCAGGUGUCCUAAGAUGAGCUCAACGAGAACAGAAAGCUCGUGUGGAAUAGAAGGGUAAAAGCUCAUUUGAUUCUAAUUUCCAGUACGAAUACGAAUCGUGAAAGUGUGGACUAACGAUCCUUUGGACCUUCGAAAUUCAAAGCUAGAGGUGUCAGAAAAGUUACCACAUAGAUAACUAGCUUGUGGCAUCCAAGUGUUCAUAGCGACGUUGCUUUUUGAUCCUUCGAUGUUGGAUCUUCCUAUCAUUGUGAAGUAGAAUUCACCAAAUAUUGGAUUGUUCACCCACCAAUAGGGAAUGUGAGCUGGGUUUAGAUCGUCGUGAGAUUACUUUUACCCUACUGAUGACAGUGUCACAAUAUUAAUUCAACCUAGUACGAGAGGAACAAUUGAUUCGCACAAUUAGUCAUCGCACUUGGUUGAAAAGCUAGUUGCGUGAAGCUACCGUGCCCUGUAUUAUGACUGAACGCCUCUAAGUCAAAAUCCGGGCUAGAAGAGACUCAUGCGCUCACCGUCCGCUUGCCGACCCGUAGUAGGGGCCUUUGGUCCCUAAGGGCACAUGUCGUUGGCUAAGUCAUCACGGCGAAAGAGCCGCGGUGGCCGCCUUGAAGUAUAAUUUCCAUCGAUUGGUGGGUAGAAUCCUUUGCAGACGACUUAAAUAUGCGACGGGGUAUUGUAUGUGGCAGAGUAGCCUUGCUACUACAAUCCACUAAGAUUCAGCCCUUUGUUGCUCCGAUUCGU
This is a non-coding RNA of Nicotiana sylvestris (wood tobacco), 3363 nucleotides long. NCBI's taxonomy places the organism in Eukaryota, Viridiplantae, Streptophyta, Magnoliopsida, Solanales, Solanaceae. The record is from Rfam.